Molecule: ribosomal RNA, 418 nt
Filed under: uncultured bacterium
Lineage: Bacteria
Description: bacterial SSU rRNA
Rfam family: Bacterial small subunit ribosomal RNA
Source: RNAcentral
GACGAACGCUAGCGGCGGGCUUAAUACAUGCAAGUUUAGGGGUUCAGCAAUGGACACCGGCGGACGGGUGCGUAACACGUAUGCAACCUGCCCUUUACUGGAGGAUACUCCGGAGAAAUUCGGCACAACACUCCAUAUACUCAUACUUUCGCAUGGGAGAAUGAGGAAAGGUUACGGUAAAGGAUGGGCAUGCGUCUGAUUAGCUAGUUGGCGAGGUAACGGCUCACCAAGGCGACGAUCAGUAGCUGGUCUGAGAGGAUGAUCAGCCACACUGGCACUGAGAUACGGGCCAGACUCCUACGGGAGGCAGCAGUAGGGAAUAUUGGUCAAUGGGCGAAAGCCUGAACCAGCCACGCCGCGUGCAGGAGAAGGUCCGUACUGGAUUGUAAACUAGCUUUUGCCUAAGGGAUAAAGGAGA